GCGAGGAUGGCGGAAUUGGGAGACGCACUGGAUUUAGGAUCCAGCCCCUUUUUGGGAUGGGGGUUCAAAUCCCCCUCCUCGCA
Molecule: transfer RNA, 83 nt
Filed under: candidate division TA06 bacterium DG_78
Lineage: Bacteria
Also listed under: 1 other name
Description: tRNA-Leu
Rfam family: tRNA
About the family: Transfer RNA (tRNA) molecules are approximately 80 nucleotides in length. Their secondary structure includes four short double-helical elements and three loops (D, anti-codon, and T loops). Further hydrogen bonds mediate the characteristic L-shaped molecular structure. tRNAs have two regions of fundamental functional importance: the anti-codon, which is responsible for specific mRNA codon recognition, and the 3' end, to which the tRNAs corresponding amino acid is attached (by aminoacyl-tRNA synthetases). tRNAs cope with the degeneracy of the genetic code in two manners: having more than one tRNA (with a specific anti-codon) for a particular amino acid; and 'wobble' base-pairing, i.e. permitting non-standard base-pairing at the 3rd anti-codon position.
Source: RNAcentral